This 232-nucleotide ribosomal RNA is filed under the name uncultured bacterium. Its description in RNAcentral is "partial 16S ribosomal RNA". It matches the Rfam family "Bacterial small subunit ribosomal RNA", at positions 15 to 228 of the family's 1533-position model. The record is from RNAcentral.
GAUCAUGGCUCAGGACGAACGCUGGCGGCGUGCCUAACACAUGCAAGUCGAGCGAGAAUUUCACGACGGAAUCCUUCGGGAUGAAGAUGUGAAAGGAAAGCGGCGGACGGGUGAGUAACGCGUGAGUAACCUGCCUAUCAGAGGGGGACAACAUUUCGAAAGGAAUGCUAAUACCGCAUAAAAUAACAGUACCGCAUGAUACAGUUAUCAAAGAUUUAUCGCUGAUAGAUAG